Long non-coding RNA from Drosophila subobscura, 1384 nucleotides. RefSeq lists it as uncharacterized. The transcript is spliced from 2 exons. Lineage: Eukaryota; Metazoa; Arthropoda; Insecta; Diptera; Drosophilidae. The record is from RefSeq and is a predicted model, not a curated record.
UUUACCACCGACUCCUUCUGCUGCUGGUCGGCCCUUCGCUCAUUCCAUUCCCAGCAAGCGCUUCAUAAAUAUUUGCUGUGCCUCAGCACAGAUUCAUAACUCAUAAAGGGUCUGUCUCUCAGUCCGUCUCUCUGUUAUGCCCACCCCCCACUCUGCCAGUGUGUGUUUGCCUGGCCCCAAUGGACAUCUAGCAGGGGUCUUGCCACAUGUAAUUAGGUUGCGGUUUCCUUGCCACCUUCUUUCUGCUGGCUUGCUUCCUCUUUUGGCAAUGAAUCCUUUUUGCAUCACGCCCGCAUGCGGCAGGCAGGCCAGUCGAAAUAAGUGGAGUCCAGUUGGCCCUAUCUGGGCUACACUCUCUCGGUUUCUAAGUGGGUGUGUGUGUGUGUGUCUGGGUGUGUGGGUGUCACCUACUUUGACUUGGGCUUUGGGGCAGCAGUACUCCAGUACUCAGCUGCAGCUGCAGCCACCCGCUGAUGAGCGCUUGAUGAUGCUGGCCCGUUAUGACGAUGAUGAUGAUGAUGAUGAUGACGAUGAUGGGCAUGAUGAUGAUGAAGCCAGCGUUGGCAAUGAUUGGGUUAACGACUACGUGGCGCAGACGUUGCGCCAUAAAUUACGAAUGUUUGCACGCUCUUGCACGUUACUUGCUGCUCCCGUUAGACAAACAGCAAAGGCAGAGCAGCGGCAGCAGAGGUAGCAACUGCGACGGCGACGGCGACGGCGACAGCGACUGCGAUUGGCAAUGAGUGAGAAAUGUGUUGAGGUGCUAGACGGCAGCUUGGCCCCGCGUGCACACUGCGCAUGCCCGUGGAGUCAAAGCCAAAGCCAGUGUCAGCGCCAGCAUCCUGCAUCCGAGGUGGCAGAUUCAGCAACCAACCAACCCACACAGGCCAGCUAGUCAUCUCGCUUGCACUUGCGUAAGUGGAGCCUGGCUAUCUGCUUCGGAAAUUGAUUGGGAAUGGAAUCCUGCAUUCAGCUAAGAGCAGAAGAGAGAGAGCAAAGCUGAGGCUGGAUGCUGCUGCUGCUGCUCCUGCUGAAGCUGAUAUCUGUCGAGUUUAGUCUUGAAUUGUGCACCUUGGUGGCUGGUUCUGUGGCAGUGUAACGCGAACCCUUGCCUGGACAGGACGGCAGCAACUAAGCAAAGCCAAACACGAACAAUCAAAUCAUGUACUCGUGAUUUACUUAUUUACUUUGGCAAACAACAAAAAAUUCAAACACACAAAAAGGCAGCAAAUACAAUAAACACAAAACAAACACAACGUGAACCGAAUAACAACAACAACAAGCUCAACAUUUCGUUGCAGUAAGUAUGAGCAGGCGAAAGCAAAACCCCUAAAACACCCAAAAACCUCCCCAAAAUAAUUUAACAUGGAAUUCCCUCACAAAA